UACCAAACUGCGUCUAAUCCUCCUUAGAGAACCUCCAUGGAAAUCACCCAUACACACUUCCAGCAAAAUAUAUAGCACCACAAGCCACUGGCCUUAUCCCUGAACAAACACACAAACCACUGGCUUCCUCCACCGGAAACCCUCCAAGCACCAUCAAAAUUCACCCAAAACCCUGCACCUAACACCAUCACCACCAUUCAGCAAUCCCAAACAGCCUGCCUAGAACAACAGUGGUGCAGUCCAUGGAAGCAACCGAUUUUUGAGCCUUAGUUUGCUUUCCUUUUGAUGGUGGUUGAGAUUACCACCUUCAUCAAAGCUCUUGGAAACCUCACAACAGUCCCAAGAAGGUCACCAAGUCAAAAGCUCACAAAAGUAAGCUGAAUCAUCUCACUUCAUCACUCUAAAACAAUUAGAUUUUUGCUAAAUUCUUCUAGGCUCAACUACUCACAUUUUUUUAUUGUUUUGAGUAAUCCCACAAUAUGCAUUGACUUCGACAAUCAUAAGGUUUUCGAUUAAAUUCCUGAUUUUUCUUAUAAGAUAUUUCGCAAUUUAUUAGUGAUACUAACCCCUUUAUUGGUAUUGCAUUCUAAACAGCAAAAUUAAAAAAAUUUUAAAACAAUUAAUUUUCUUUAUAUUUUUAAAUAUUUUAAUAUACUAAUAUCAAAAUUAAUUAUUUUUAAAUUAAUUAUUUUAAUAUAUUUUAAAAUAAAAAAUACUUUAAAAAAUAAUCAUUAUUAUUCUCAUAAAAACACUUAAAUACUUUUUUAGUGUGGUUUCAUAUGCCCCCCGCCCCCUAUCUUAUAUUGGGUAACAUCUCUCCACACAUUUUUAAAGGUAGACAUUAAACAAAAUGGGCCAAAUAAUAAGAUGCUAAAUACUGAGUCUAUAUAUUGUAAUGUAGCUGUUAGUUCAACAUGGGCUAAAUAUUAUAAAUAUAUAACUUAUUUCAUUUGAUAAAAAAUAAAUAUAAAAUAAUAUAAAUUAAUGCAAGCUUUAAGUUUAAAUACUUUUUACUUGAGGAUAUAUAUUAGAAAAUUAUAUAAAAUAAUGAAAAGUAUGUUUUUCAUGACUAAUAUUAAUAUUCCAGUUUGAAAAUUGGUCGAACAUCAAGUUCUGACUAGCAGAUAAUGGAUCACAGCCAUGAAGUUUCACUUGAUAUCAACGAGAUAGCCAAUUCUUUGAGGGAGCAAUUGAAGAUCAGGAAGGCUUUCUCCCAGGAACGAUUGCGGAAGUUAAAUGAAAAGGCAUAUACACCUCGAGUAGUCUCAAUAGGCCCUCUUCACCAUGGUAAGGAAAACCUAAAAGCUAUGGAAGACCACAAAAUAAUGUACCUGCAGCAGUUUCUCGAACAGAAUUUAUCAGUAAGCGUGGAGGAUUUAAUUACCAUUAUCAAGGAUGUCAUAACUUAAUUUUUGAUCUUUUUAUUUUAAUUAUUUUUAUUUUUUAAAAAAUAUGAAAAACAAGUAAAAAUAAAAUAAUUAAAGAAUAAAUUAAAAUUUAAGUUAAGGACAACAUAAUUGAAAGUUUAAAAAAUUAAAUUCUUGACUAGUUUAAUUAAUUAAAAUUUAGAUUAUUUUAAUUAAUGAAAGUAAGAGUUUAAUUGAAGAAUUAAUGAGUUUGAGGAUUUAAUUAAACUUUGAUUUAAUUAAUUAAAUAAAUUCAGGGACUUAAUUGAAAUUAAUUCAAGGAUAAAAUUAAAAGAUUGUUGGGAUCAAAUUGUUAAAUUCCAGAGGCAGGGGUCAAAUUAAAAAUUCCCAUUUUUUACCGAAACGGCACCGUUGCUAACAGCCAUGCGUCUUCUCCAUCCCGCUUCAACAGGGGAGCUGAUAAUCUGCAACAAAUCCAAUCGUGGACCACGUCUCUCGCCCACGAUCUUGUCAGGGAAGAUAACAGUCCUGCAAAGGCAGGACUGGUUAGAGGCAAGCAGCUGGGUCUCUAUAAAAGGGGCAGGGGACUGAGGAACAACAAAAAAGAACGUAAGCAAGAUCCACCGGGGGGGGGGGGACAGGGGAAGGAGGGACAGAAACGAAAAGGAAGACCAAGGGAAGCGAACAAAAAAGAGGCAGGAACACCGAGAACAGAACACAUACAGAACGGAGAAAACGAAAAAAAAAGCAGGGGAGAACGAAUGGACAGGCAGAAGCAGAGAGGAGACGAACGAACAGGAGGAGGAAGGAGAGAAUAGACAAAGAUUAUACAAGGCGUGAACGAAAAGAAACAAACCAAAAAAAUAAAAAAGAGAAGAGAACAGCCAGCCACCACGCCAUCGCUAUCGUCUUCGUUCCUGUGCGUCCAGGUAAGCUUCUCGCUCCCUUUCAUUUUUAGUUACAUAAGUACAGUGAGAAAGUAUUUUUUAAUUACCUUCCCACGGUGCACAGCAUGCGUGAAUAAUUCACGCAUGCGUGCCUCAGCUAGCUGGGCCACUAAAAAUAUGUGCUGGGCUGGGCCCAAAAUAUAAAAAAUAAAAAAAAAAUAAAAAAACAGAAAAAUAGAAAAGGUAGAAACAAAUAAAAAAAAAAAUAU
RNAcentral lists this long non-coding RNA (2523 nucleotides) under Populus tremula. RNAcentral describes it as "long non-coding RNA (PTRE_LNC001901)". Lineage: Eukaryota; Viridiplantae; Streptophyta; Magnoliopsida; Malpighiales; Salicaceae. The record is from RNAcentral.